UUUGCUGAUGGGUUUCUGAGCAUACUGUCGAAUCCUUUGAUUCCUUGACCAAAUUGAUUAUGCUGCUGUGAUGAUCUGUUGUAGUCAAUAUUGUUGUUGUGGGAAAGUAAGCAUGCCAAUUUCAACAAUUUGUAAUGAUCUUGCUGCUGUAAUGGGUUGUUAAUUUGUUGUUGGAUUGAUAGGAUUAGAUGAUUACAAUAUCUGAGCAUGUUGGUGAUUACAAUAUCUUGGACAUGGUUUUCUUUUGUUUGUUGUAAAAUAAAACAUAAGCAGAAAGCCAUGUUCAACAAACAUCAAUUUUCUAGGGUUAGGGUUUUCGUUUCAUUCUCAGAUGAUUUGAUGGGCAACACGAUUUGUUCAGGAUGACUCUGCAUAUAUAUAUUUGAUUAAUUGAGGGUCGAGAUUAUAAAUGAGAACUCUCAGAUGAGUUUUUGAAGUUCUCUGUUUUUUACUUUACAGGAAAAAAUGGAAAAUUGUUAUUGAUUAUAUUAGUAUAAUUUGUUUAGGCACAGUCUUUCUAGGAUUUUAUUGCUUGCAUAGUUUAUUUUCUAUGUUUUUCUUUUUGAUUCAUUGCAACUGAGGUAUUCGAGCUAUCUCAGCCUUUGAUUGUUGCUUUUGAUAUGUGUGAAUGAUGUGAAAAUUCAUAAAAGCAAUUGUAUUAAUUCAUUAAUCAAUUAUAAUGAAUGAUGUUAAAAAAGCCAAGUAGUAAGUCUUGACCAAAAGUUGAUAUGUUAAAGCUAAUGAACUAAUCAACCAAAAACUGACGCAUAAAAGAGUGCUCAGGGACCAAUGUUGCUUUUCAUAUUUGAUUUUCAAGUCUAUUGGUGCUCUGGGACCAAUCCUGCUUCUGAUAUUUUAUUUUCAACUGAUUUGCUUAGAAAAAAUAGAAAACAAGUUUGAUUUUUUGCAAUCUCUGUUCAUAAAUGAGUAAUUGUUGAUGACGUUUCUUUUCUUUUUUCUUUCUUUUGGCCUUUUUGGGUUGUUUCUGUGUUUUGUCUGUUUGGUUGCGGAUGCCUUAUCCACCUUUUCAAUAUAUCGUUUCUCUUUAGAAAAGAAAAUCAAUAUUCAAGACAUCUUUGCUCCAAAAUAAUGUAUGCAUGCAUUAAUUUUGGUAAACUAAAUUGAGUUUAUGCUUAUGGGAUUAAAUAUUUUUCCAUAUUUUUGUUGCACUAUUUCUUUUCUUAUUCUUAUAUGCAGGGAUGAUAAUUUGUUUUCUUUUCUUUUCAGUUUCAAACAGAUUUACAGUUCUUUUCUCUUGCUUAAAUUUGUGAAAUAUAUGUAUAUGGAGAGCCCAUAUUAAGAAAUAGCGGUUAUGCAUUAUGUGGCCUUUUUAUUGGGUUUAACGAUGGAGUACAAUGUGUUCAUUUGAUGUUUUUAGCUGAGAUUGUGAUCAAUUUCAUUUUGUGGAUUUUCAGGUUUUGCAAGAUGAUAGUAGUGUAUGAGAGCGUCAAGAGGAGGCUGUGGGUAGAAGGCGGUUCUUUGCAGGCUAGACAAGCAAAAAUUCCCUCUUUGGACUUGCUCCACUUGAAGCAGUGCUAUUUAAUAUUGAUAGAACUCCAUAUGAUUUAGAUCCCAUUCAUUUCAAUGCCUUCCACAAAAUGCUUCCAUAGUUUGUGCAAGAUGUUAACAGUGUACAAGAGAAUCCAGAAGAGGCUAUGAGUAGAAGGAGGUUCUUUGCAAAAACCACUUCUACAGUAGAGCCAACAAGAGAUAGAUCCCUUUUCAACAGACAUCAAGGCAGAAAAAUCCCCUUCCCCCACCAGUAGCAUAUAUGUAUAGACAUGUCCAAACUCUCUUGAACAAAGAGCAGCUCAACUGUUGAUAUUUUGAUUGUUGCUUGGUUUAAUAAAAUAUGAUCAAUAUUUUAAGAUAACAAGCAACAUAUAAAACAUGUUAUUAGUUUUUA
Prunus dulcis (almond) is the source of this 1906-nucleotide long non-coding RNA. RefSeq lists it as uncharacterized. NCBI's taxonomy places the organism in Eukaryota, Viridiplantae, Streptophyta, Magnoliopsida, Rosales, Rosaceae. The record is from RefSeq and is a predicted model, not a curated record. The transcript has 4 exons.